CUCCGGGCUGGCGCUGGAUGCUCGGAGAAGGAGGACGUGGAGGGCAACCGAGCUCUUCAAACCCAGUGGAUUUUCAGGUGUCAAGGAGAUCUGUGAUAAUUCAGUGACCACCAGGGGGCAUCAGGACCUCUGGGUGUCCUAGCCAACCAAGUCCACACUGAAUAAAAAUGAGGCUAAAAACCUUACUUUAUGGAAAGAGAAGAAUCCGUUAUUUCAGGCAGGGGGAGCAACACGACAAACAUGCAGAGCAAGCACCUUGUGAAAUGAGCUCACAGCACUGGCUACAGCAUGAAAUUCAUGAGGAGUGCUUGCAUGGUUUCAUGAAGCAAGUUGACACCUUGGAAAUGUCCACACGCAAGGAACUGAGAGUUCCCUCUGGUCAACUACCAGUGAGAAACUCAGGCCCUCAGUCCAACAGCUUGCAAAGAACAGAAUCCUGCCACCAACCACCUGAACUUGGAAGUGGAUAUUUCCCUAGUUAAGCCUUGAGAUGACUACAUUUCGGUGCAGAUCAAAACAAUUUAGAAAACCUAGAAAAGUUACAAAACGAUUUACUUAAAGGCAUCAGAGAACUUCAGCAGCUACAAAGACUAAAAAGAGUAAGAUUCCAACAAGGGGAUACAUUUAUGGAGGAGAGCUAAGGACCUGAGCGUCCUUGCAGGCAUUUGUUGGUUGUAGAUUUGAGACAAAAGCAGAGAUCCCUAAGUAAACCUGCAUAUAGUGUUGCUACUAGGGGGACAGAGUGGCCAGCAGAGAUUUUGCAGGUCACACAGCACUGGGUUAACAGAAUGGGAGGUUUCAGGGAGCUCAAAUAUGGCUGUUCUCCCCCUCAGUGUAUGUCCUGAGCUCUAAACCUGCACAGAGCUGGAGGUAAAGAACUAAGACCAAAGAUAAAAUGCCUAAUAAAUCAAGGGACUAUAUUGGUUUUGAAUUGGAAGACUAAUUAUUGUAACUACGUCAAUUUUUCCUGAGCUUAUCUAAGGAUUCAACGCAAUUCCAACCAGAAUCCUUAAGGGUAUUUUUUAGGAGAAAUUGAUAAACUGGUUAAAAAAUAAAUAUGGAAAUGCAAAAACAAAAUUUGAAACAGAAGUAUAAAAUUGGAGAAUGUACACUAACAGAUACCAAAACUCAAGAACUAUUAUAAAGCUAUAGUAAUUAAGACAGUGUGUAUUGGUAUAGGAACAGAUAUAUAGGCUAAUGAAAUGAAAUCGAGAGUCCAGAAACAUGCCACCUGUAUAUGGUCACCUGAUUUAUGACAUAGAUGACACUAUAAUGCCAGGGGGCGAAGAUGAUCUUUUCAAUAAAUUAUCUUGUGUCAACUGUAUAUCCAUAGGGGAAAAAACGAAAUCUGGCACUUACCUCACACUUAUAUAAAAGCCAAUUCCUGGUGGAUUAUAGUUAUAAAUAUGAAAAGUAUGGCAAUAAAGUUUUAAAAGAUAAUAUAGAGGGAAAUCAUCUUGACCUUGGGAAAGAGAAACACUUCUUAUAUUAGUUAUAAAAGUGAUAACCAUAGAAAAUAGACUGAGAAAUCAGAUUAAAAUAAAAACUACUGCUUAUCAGAAGGCACCGUUUGAAGAGUAAAAAUGCAAGCUCCCCUGACCCCCACAAAUGGGUGGUAUGAUUUUAAACACGUACAGCUAAGAAAGGGUUUGUAUCCAUACAUUAUAAAGGAAUACUACAAAUCGAUAAGGAAAGGACAAAUCCAUAGAUUUAGUGUCAGGACUCGGCCGUGAAGUCAAAUAAGACUCAACCACAUUAGCCGUCAGUAAGUUAACCCCCCUCUGAGAUACCACUCUUCCCGUGGAAGAAGGGCUAAAGUUUAAGAUAGCAAAAUUGGGUGAGGAUGUGGGACAGUGGGAACUCUCAUACCCUGCUGUUGGGUGUGUAAAUUGGUGCAACCACUUCAGAAAACAUUUUGUCAUGAUACACCAACAUUGGAAAUAUGAGGACUUUUUGAUACAGAAACUCUAGUUGAAGGUUUGUACUAAUUAGAAAUACAUAAAUCUGAGUACUAAAGGAAUUUUAACAAUAAUAACCAUAAGAGCCCCAACUGAAACUACAGAUUAAUGAAAAUGAAUCUCCUGAAUAGAAUGUGGAGCCAAGGAUGCCAGGCACAAAAGAAUGUCAUCUGUAUUGUUGGAUUCAUAAGAGUUCAAAGGCAGAGAAAUCAAAAACUAUUGUGUUAAAAGCAGGAAUAUGGAUCAACAAAAAAAAAAUCCACAGAAUGGGAGAAAAUAUUUGCAAAUGAAGUGACCA
This is a long non-coding RNA of Balaenoptera musculus (blue whale), 2256 nucleotides long. RefSeq lists it as uncharacterized. Lineage: Eukaryota; Metazoa; Chordata; Mammalia; Artiodactyla; Balaenopteridae. The record is from RefSeq and is a predicted model, not a curated record. The transcript has 4 exons.